UCGAAUUAGAAUUUAGUUUCCAAAGUCAGGUCUUCUUCAGUUUCCUUUUCCAGUUCGGAAUCUGUCCAUACUCAGCUUCCAUAUCGAUCUCUGACUUAGAUUCCAUAUUAGAUUAUGCUUCCUUAUUCAUCAGCUUCAACUUCCUUCUUUGAUGUAACUCCAUCUCCAAAUCAUGUUAGGAAUUGAAUUCUCAAGGUCCAAUGUUACCAAUCCUUCUUCGACUCAGAAUCCAAAAGUCAAUUCACACAAAUCGUAGAGUGUGACUCUUCUCUCGGAAUCGUAGAGUGAACCUCGUCAGUCAAAGAGUGUCUUAGCUGCUGAGCUAAAAACGUAGAGUAGAAUUUCCAAUCAUAGAGUCCAAUGUCGUAGAGCAUGCAAAUCGUCGAACAUAAAGUCUGGUCGUAGAGCAAAUUUCGGCAAUCAUAAAGUGAAGCUGGGAAUCGUCGAGUAAAGCUUACUACGAUAGUAGAGCUGCCAGACUGCACUCCAACAUUAUGAACAUAAAGCUCUCACUCAACGAUCAUAGAGUACUCCUGAAAAACAACUAAAAACUGGCAUUAAACUCCAUAUUUGCAUAAUCAUACUAAAUUCUUCUAUAAAUCAAUAAACACCUUAAAUCAACUUGUAUAACAGAAAACAUGCAGCAAAACUAAACAUAAAGGAACCAAAUUCAUCCAACAUUUUAUACUUAUCAACCUAAAAGGCAUGUGAAGACAAACGAUCUUGUGCAACAAAGAGAAUUUGGUAACCAAAAUAUUUCAUCAUGAAAACAGUAGGAAGCAUGGCCACCUAAUCUUUCCAAUUGUGUCUAUGAAUGGCAGGAUAAUAACCUUUUAUUGAGCCAGAAUCUAAUUUCAUAUAAUCUAUCCAAAUUUGUCAAUCAUAUUUGUCACUAGUUCAUUUUCAUGAUCUUGAUCAUUGCUAUCCAAAACUACUUAGGAACCACCUGAAUUGGAUGUACCCUUAUGUUAUUUGAAUGCAAGAUAUGGUCUCACUAUUUAGACACUUAAGACCAGGGGCGGAUGUACUAGCAGAGCAGCAUAGGCAGUUGCCUAUGUUGACUUUUUUUUUUCUUCUAAGUAUUGGGGCAGGGACAUAAUUAUAUAUGUUAAUAAACUCAAGGGGGAAGAUUAAUGAAAGAGUUAAACUUGGUGGGGCAAAAGAACUAUAUUCUAAUUCUAAAAAAUACAGACUAGUCAAGAGCAUACUUCAACUCGUUCUUGUGCUUGGCUGAAAGCUUGAAACAAAUGCUCAUUCCACUUACUCAUUCCAGUUCCAUUUAUUACCUUGAUUUCUCUUCUUCUUUAAAUUUUUCUUCAUCCGAAACCAUGAAGCAGGCGAAAAAGACCCGCGACCGCCAAUUAUCCCUCCAAUACUUGCCAUUCUCUUUCCAAAUAUCUCCAAACUCUAUUAUGAUCUACUAUUAUUUAUAUCAGAAAUGAAGAUGUAUUAACUUUCAAAGGAAUUGGGUGGUUGUUACGGCAAAUUGAAUACUGAAUUUUAAAAAGUAGGGUUGUUAUGAAAAUAAAAAUACAGAUUGAUAUAUGGAGAGAGAGAAAGUAAAGGCAAGUCCCUUAUCUGGUGGCCAUGAAAUGAUGAUGUGUAUGUAGC
RNAcentral lists this long non-coding RNA (1611 nucleotides) under Panax ginseng (ginseng). RNAcentral's name for it is "long non-coding RNA (PGIN_LNC007694)". Lineage: Eukaryota; Viridiplantae; Streptophyta; Magnoliopsida; Apiales; Araliaceae. The record is from RNAcentral.